ACUGAAACAUCUAAGUAGCUGCAGGAAAAUAAAUCAACCGAGAUUCCCAAAGUAGUGGCGAGCGAAAUGGGAAGAGCCUGUACGUGAUAGUCGGACUGAUAGUGGAAUGCUCUGGAAAUGGCAGCCACAGCGGGUGAUAGCCCCGUACACGAAAUCAGACCGGUGGUACUAAGCGUACGACAAGUAGGGCGGGACACGAGAAAUCCUGUCUGAAUAUGGGGGGACCAUCCUCCAAGGCUAAAUACUCGUAAUCGA
RNAcentral lists this ribosomal RNA (255 nucleotides) under Duganella sp. sic0402. Its description in RNAcentral is "partial 23S ribosomal RNA". It matches the Rfam family "Bacterial large subunit ribosomal RNA", at positions 192 to 483 of the family's 2925-position model. Lineage: Bacteria; Pseudomonadati; Pseudomonadota; Betaproteobacteria; Burkholderiales; Oxalobacteraceae. The record is from RNAcentral.